This 1086-nucleotide long non-coding RNA is filed under the name Coturnix japonica (Japanese quail). Its description in RNAcentral is "lncRNA (ENSCJPG00005004064.1)". The record is from RNAcentral. Lineage: Eukaryota; Metazoa; Chordata; Aves; Galliformes; Phasianidae.
AUGUCCAACCCCGAGGAGCGGCUCUCAUCCCGCCCCCCGGCCCCCCUGGCUGCGGCGCCCGGGGAAAAGCCCGGCUCCGGCCGCCGCCCGCCCCACUCUCAUGGCCGGGGCGGCGGAGGUGGAGGCAGCGGCGGGUCUCCUCCCCCCCCCGCGCCCGGAGGCAGCUCGGUCGCCCGUAGCUCCCUCGUUCUGCUCCUGACAGCCGCCGCCGGCAGCGGCAGCGGGAGCCGCGCCGCAGGGACUGCCCCCGCCGCCUCCGCCCGCAUCGGCCCCGCAGCGGCGGCGGCUCCUCUCCGCGCUCCAAUCCCCUCCUUCUCCUCCGCUUCUCCAUCUUCGUUUUACUUCUUGCCGCCGCCUCCUCGUUUCCCCUCCUCGUCUUCCUUUAACCUCACGAGUCUCCAAGGGAGGGAAGGAGGAGGAGGAGGAAGAGAUGCUGGCGGAGCGGCGGCGGCUCACUUGAUCGCCCAUCCAGGCGGCGGCAGCGGCAGGAGGAGACUCUUCUCUUCUCCUUCCAUCCAGGGUUCUCUGUUCCGUUCCGCGGCCGCCGGCCCCCGGCAGCACCAUCCGCGGCUCCUCCUCCCCGCGGCCGCCUCUCGCCCGUGGUCCUGCGCUUUCCUCGGCGCUGCAGCGGCGGCCGCCCGCGGCGACGGGAUCCGAGACGACGGCCCCGGCGGGAGCGGGACUGCGCGGCGGCUGCGAGGCGCCUUCUUCUCCUUCUCGUCUCCCCUGCUCCCGGGGCCAGACAUGGAAGAUGGAUCUAAUUCUACCGGCUGCUUCAGGAGGUUUACGGACUGUUUCCUGAACACAAGUAGGUACUGGGGCGGGGAGGUAGCUGGGAUGGUUGGGGGGGGGCUCGGGGCAGCGCGUUCCUUUGUGAGCGGGGACACAAAGGACCGGGCGCGGGGAGGAUGCGCGGACAAAGGGAUGCGCCGUGCGGCAGCCGCCUGCUGGCGCCGCCUCGGCCUCGGCCGGAGCUCCGCGGGCUCGUGGCAGCCCGGCACCUGGCGCGCCUCUCAUCCGCCGCGGAGCGGGGCGCGGGGACCCGCCCCGACCUCCGGAGGUGGCCGUAGGGAAGCGUUAAGCUAA